This 1356-nucleotide ribosomal RNA is filed under the name metagenome. RNAcentral describes it as "bacterial SSU rRNA". It matches the Rfam family "Bacterial small subunit ribosomal RNA", at positions 8 to 1329 of the family's 1533-position model. The record is from RNAcentral.
AGAGUUUGAUCCUGGCUCAGGAUGAACGCUAGCGACAGGCUUAACACAUGCAAGUCGAGGGGCAGCACGGGGUAGCAAUACCCCGGUGGCGACCGGCGCACGGGUGAGUAACACGUGUGCAACCAACCCCGUACCGGGAGAUAACCCGCGGAAACGUGGACUAACACCCCAUAAGACCUUUCCCCCGCAUGGGGGGGAGUUUAAAACCCCGGUGGUACGGGACGGGCACGCGCGACAUUAGGUAGUUGGCGGGGUAACGGCCCACCAAGCCGACGAUGUCUAGGGGUUCUGAGAGGAAGGUCCCCCACACUGGAACUGAGACACGGUCCAGACUCCUACGGGAGGCAGCAGUGAGGAAUAUUGGUCAAUGGGCGAGAGCCUGAACCAGCCAAGUCGCGUGAGGGAAGAAUGGUCUAUGGCCUGUAAACCUCUUUUGUCAAGGAAGAACAUGUAGUACGUGUACUACCCUGCCAGUACUUGACGAAUAAGCAUCGGCUAACUCCGUGCCAGCAGCCGCGGUAAUACGGGGGAUGCGAGCGUUAUCCGGAUUUAUUGGGUUUAAAGGGCGCGUAGGCGGGACGUCAAGUCAGCGGUAAAAGACUGCAGCUAAACUGUAACACGCCGUUGAAACUGUCGACCUGGAGACGAGACGAGGGAGGCGGAACAAGUGAAGUAGCGGUGAAAUGCAUAGAUAUCACUUGGAACCCCGAUAGCGAAGGCAGCUUCCCAGGCUCGAUCUGACGCUGAUGCGCGAGAGCGUGGGUAGCGAACAGGAUUAGAUACCCUGGUAGUCCACGCCGUAAACGAUGCUCACUGGAUCUUGGCGAUACACGGCCAGGGUUCAAGCGAAAGUAUUAAGUGAGCCACCUGGGGAGUACGUCGGCAACGAUGAAACUCAAAGGAAUUGACGGGGGCCCGCACAAGCGGAGGAACAUGUGGUUUAAUUCGAUGAUACGCGAGGAACCUUACCCGGGUUUAAAUGCAGGUUGCAUGAGGUGGAAACACCUCUUUCCCUCGGGACUACCUGCAAGGUGCUGCAUGGUUGUCGUCAGCUCGUGCCGUGAGGUGUCGGGUUAAGUCCCAUAACGAGCGCAACCCCUAUCGCCAGUUGCCAUCGGUUUCGGCCGGGCACUCUGUCGAGACUGCCACCGUAAGGUGCGAGGAAGGCGGGGAUGACGUCAAAUCAGCACGGCCCUUACACCCGGGGCGACACACGUGUUACUCACCCGUGCGCCGGUCGCCACCGGGGUAUUGCUACCCCGUGCUGCCCCUCGACUUGCAUGUGUUAAGCCUGUCGCUAGCGUUCAUCCUGAGCCAGGAUCAAACUCUGUAGAGGAUCAUCGAAGUCAUCCAUGG